AGAGUUUGAUCCUGGCUCAGGAUGAACGGCUGGCGGCGUGCUUAACACAUGCAAGUCGAACGGGGAUGCCAUUUUUGAAGCGAUUAGCUUGCUAAGAGUGGAAAUGUUGGCAUCUUAGUGGCGGACGGGUGAGUAACGCGUGGGGAACCUGCCCUGUACAGGGGGAUAACACUUAGAAAUAGGUGCUAAUACCGCAUAAGCGCACAGUAUCGCAUGAUACAGUGUGAAAAACUCCGGUGGUACAGGAUGGACCCGCGUCUGAUUAGCUGGUUGGCGGGGUAACGGCCCACCAAGGCGACGAUCAGUAGCCGGCCUGAGAGGGUGAACGGCCACAUUGGGACUGAGACACGGCCCAAACUCCUACGGGAGGCAGCAGUGGGGAAUAUUGGACAAUGGGGGGAACCCUGAUCCAGCGACGCCGCGUGAGUGAAGAAGUAUUUCGGUAUGUAAAGCUCUAUCAGCAGGGAAGAAAAUGACGGUACCUGACUAAGAAGCCCCGGCUAACUACGUGCCAGCAGCCGCGGUAAUACGUAGGGGGCAAGCGUUAUCCGGAUUUACUGGGUGUAAAGGGAGCGUAGACGGUGCAGCAAGUCUGAUGUGAAAGGUCGGGGCCCAACCCCGGGACUGCAUUGGAAACUGUUGAACUGGAGUACAGGAGAGGUAAGCGGAAUUCCUAGUGUAGCGGUGAAAUGCGUAGAUAUUAGGAGGAACACCAGUGGCGAAGGCGGCUUCUGGACUGUAACUGACGUUGAGGCUCGAAAGCGUGGGGAGCAAACAGGAUUAGAUACCCUGGUAGUCCACGCCGUAAACG
Molecule: ribosomal RNA, 811 nt
Filed under: uncultured bacterium
Lineage: Bacteria
Description: bacterial SSU rRNA
Rfam family: Bacterial small subunit ribosomal RNA
Source: RNAcentral